CACGUAGGGGGCGAGCGUUGUCCGGAUUUAUUGGGCGUAAAGAGCUCGUAGGCGGCUCAGUAAGUCGGGUGUGAAAACUCCAGGCUCAACCUGGAGACGCCACCCGAUACUGCUGUGGCUAGAGUCCGGUAGGGGAGCAUGGAAUUCCUGGUGUAGCGGUGAAAUGCGCAGAUAUCAGGAGGAACACCAGUGGCGAAAGCGGCUUCCUGGUCCAGCACCGACGUUCAGGCACGAAAGCGUGGGGAGCAAACAGG
RNAcentral lists this ribosomal RNA (254 nucleotides) under uncultured bacterium. Its description in RNAcentral is "partial 16S ribosomal RNA". It matches the Rfam family "Bacterial small subunit ribosomal RNA", at positions 524 to 776 of the family's 1533-position model. The record is from RNAcentral.